This 593-nucleotide long non-coding RNA is filed under the name Equus caballus (horse). RNAcentral's name for it is "lncRNA (ENSECAG00000045763.1)". The record is from RNAcentral. Lineage: Eukaryota; Metazoa; Chordata; Mammalia; Perissodactyla; Equidae.
GUGUGUCUCUGUGUGUGUGUAGAUAUAUUUAUUCUUCUGGGACAUGAAGCUUUAGUUCUGGUGAUCUCAAAAGACUUUUGGAGUGUGAAUGUUCAAGUGAAAGAAAUCAUAUAUCAUGCUUAUCUUUGGUGAGAGCACGUGUGCACUGGAUGAUUUUCACCUACAAAGAUCAUCUUUGACCAAAAUGGAGCAAAGAAAAUACAUGCACUCUAUAACCGCUUAUUACCCUGGAUUCCCUGUCACAGAGGUGGAGAGAAGAUUCUGACCAAUGGAAGACCAGAUAGGCUGAACAAGCCCAAGGUCACAGAGCAAAUCCUUGGAAGAAUGCGGACGACACAGCCAACUUUUUCACUGAAACUAUUAACUAUUGGACAAUCCCUCCCAAAAUUGCUUUCUUCCAUUUUGAUGUCUCUUUUCUUAAGGAGAAGUGAUACCAGAAAGACAGCUGAUUAUAAAUGAGAGAGAGAAAAUACUUCAGAAAGAAAAAAGUCUCAAACCUAUCUGGCAGUGACCAUUUUCUUGAUUUAAGCAGAGAAUGAUCUUUGUGUUUCCACAUGAGUGACCACAUUCAGCAAGAUAUAAUUGCCAAACAC